UGUAAUCCAUUCAUAAUGCAU
This 21-nucleotide non-coding RNA is filed under the name Caenorhabditis elegans. The record is from RNAcentral. Lineage: Eukaryota; Metazoa; Nematoda; Chromadorea; Rhabditida; Rhabditidae.